Molecule: ribosomal RNA, 468 nt
Filed under: uncultured bacterium
Lineage: Bacteria
Description: partial 16S ribosomal RNA
Rfam family: Bacterial small subunit ribosomal RNA
Source: RNAcentral
UACGAACGCUGGCGGCGUGCUUAACACAUGCAAGUCGAACGGAAAGGCCCUGCUUUUGUGGGGUGCUCGAGUGGCGAACGGGUGAGUAACCCGUGAGUAACCUGCCCUUGACUUUGGGAUAACUUCAGGAAACUGGGGCUAAUACCGGAUAGGAGCUCCUGCUGCAUGGUGGGGGUUGGAAAGUUUCGGCGGUUGGGGAUGGACUCGCGGCUUAUCAGCUUGUUGGUGGGGUAGUGGCUUACCAAGGCUUUGACGGGUAGCCGGCCUGAGAGGGUGACCGGCCACAUUGGGACUGAGAUACGGCCCAGACUCCUACGGGAGGCAGCAGUGGGGAAUAUUGCACAAUGGGCGGAAGCCUGAUGCAGCAACGCCGCGUGCGGGAUGACGGCCUUCGGGUUGUAAACCGCUUUCGCCUGUGACGAAGCGUGAGUGACGGUAAUGGGUAAAGAAGCACCGGCUAACUACGUG